AGAAAGGCUUUAUUUAAAGCUAUUAAUUCAUAUCUAGAAGCUAAUU
Colinus virginianus (northern bobwhite) is the source of this 46-nucleotide non-coding RNA. NCBI's taxonomy places the organism in Eukaryota, Metazoa, Chordata, Aves, Galliformes, Odontophoridae. The record is from Rfam.